GACGAACGCUGGCGGCGUGCUUAACACAUGCAAGUCGAACGGUGAAGCUCCAGCUUUCUGGAGUUGAUCAGUGGCGAACGGGUGAGUAACACAUGAGCAACCUGCCCCUGACUCUGGAAUAAGCGCUGGAAACGGCGGCUAAUACUGGAUACGAGAAGGGUCCGCAUGGGCACUUUCUGGAAAGUUUUUCGGUUGGAGAUGGGCUCGCGGCCUAUCAGCUUGUUGGUGAGGUAAUGGCUCACCAAGGGGACGACGGAUAGCCGGCCUGAGAGGGCGACCGGCCACACUGGGACUGAGGGACGGCGCAGACUCCUACGGUAGGCAGCAGUGGGAAAUAUUGCACAAUGGGCGAAAGCCUGAUGCAGCGACGCCGCGUGAGGGAAGACGGCCUUCGGGUUGUAAACCUCUUUCAGCAGGGAAGAAGCGAAAGUGACGGUACCUGCAGAAGAAGCACCGGCUAACUACGUG
Molecule: ribosomal RNA, 468 nt
Filed under: uncultured bacterium
Lineage: Bacteria
Description: partial 16S ribosomal RNA
Rfam family: Bacterial small subunit ribosomal RNA
Source: RNAcentral